GAAGGGCCAUCGCUCAACGGAUAAAAGGUACUCCGGGGAUAACAGGCUGAUACCGCCCAAGAGUUCAUAUCGACGGCGGUGUUUGGCACCUCGAUGUCGGCUCAUCACAUCCUGGGGCUGAAGCCGGUCCCAAGGGUAUGGCUGUUCGCCAUUUAAAGUGGUACGCGAGCUGGGUUUAGAACGUCGUGAGACAGUUCGGUCCCUAUCUGCCGUGGACGUUUGAGAUUUGAGAGGGGCUGCUCCUAGUACGAGAGGACCGGAGUGGACGAACCUCUGGUGUUCCGGUUGUCACGCCAGUGGCAUUGCCGGGUAGCUAUGU
RNAcentral lists this non-coding RNA (319 nucleotides) under Thalassospira alkalitolerans. RNAcentral describes it as "bacterial LSU rRNA". It matches the Rfam family "Bacterial large subunit ribosomal RNA", at positions 2436 to 2754 of the family's 2925-position model. The record is from RNAcentral. Lineage: Bacteria; Pseudomonadati; Pseudomonadota; Alphaproteobacteria; Rhodospirillales; Thalassospiraceae.